GUUAAGCGACUAAGCGUACACGGUGGAUGCCCUGGCAGUCAGAGGCGAUGAAGGGCGUGCUAAUCUGCGAUAAGCGCCGGUAAGGUGAUAUGAACCGUUAUAACCGGCGAUACCCGAAUGGGGAAACCCAGUGUGAUUCGUCACACUAUCAUUAACUGAAUCCAUAGGUUAAUGAGGCGAACCGGGGGAACUGAAACAUCUAAGUACCCCGAGGAAAAGAAAUCAACCGAGAUUCCCCCAGUAGCGGCGAGCGAACGGGGAGGAGCCCAGAGCCUGAAUCAGCAUGUGUGUUAGUGGAAGCGUCUGGAAAGGCGCGCGAUACAGGGUGACA
RNAcentral lists this ribosomal RNA (331 nucleotides) under Salmonella enterica. RNAcentral describes it as "partial 23S ribosomal RNA". It matches the Rfam family "Bacterial large subunit ribosomal RNA", at positions 1 to 369 of the family's 2925-position model. RNAcentral also lists the same sequence under 7 other names. Lineage: Bacteria; Pseudomonadati; Pseudomonadota; Gammaproteobacteria; Enterobacterales; Enterobacteriaceae. The record is from RNAcentral.